This 254-nucleotide ribosomal RNA is filed under the name uncultured bacterium. RNAcentral describes it as "partial 16S ribosomal RNA". It matches the Rfam family "Bacterial small subunit ribosomal RNA", at positions 524 to 776 of the family's 1533-position model. The record is from RNAcentral.
UACGGGGGGGGCAAGCGUUGUUCGGAAUUACUGGGCGUAAAGGGCUCGUAGGCGGCCAACUAAGUCAGACGUGAAAUCCCUCGGCUUAACCGGGGAACUGCGUCUGAUACUGGAUGGCUUGAGUUUGGGAGAGGGAUGCGGAAUUCCAGGUGUAGCGGUGAAAUGCGUAGAUAUCUGGAGGAACACCGGUGGCGAAGGCGGCAUCCUGGGCCAACACUGGAGCUGAGUGAGCGAAAGCCAGGGGAGCAAACGGG